RNAcentral lists this long non-coding RNA (742 nucleotides) under Mytilus galloprovincialis (Mediterranean mussel). The record is from RNAcentral. Lineage: Eukaryota; Metazoa; Mollusca; Bivalvia; Mytilida; Mytilidae.
GUCUUUUGGAAAAUGUUGUUUGUGCUGUUUUUAGACCCUUCUACAACGAAAUUUGUUUGACAUGCACACGUAUAAAAAUUGCGGUUUUUAUCCAACGCAGUCAUAGGUUUGAACGAAGUUUUCAAUUUAGACUCGUUUAUAUUUUUUGUUUGGGCAUGUAUCAUAUUUUCCCUCCGGUUUAUAUGAUCCGUUCAUCCUAUAUAUUGACUCUUAAAAUUCAAGAGUUAAUCUAAAAAUGAGGGUACUUUCUCUAAAAAUGAGGGUGCUUUUUAUAUGGCCUUCCAAAUACCGUUUCGAUCCCUAACAUCACUGAAGAGACAUUUAUUGUCGAAAUCCGGAUAUGGUGUACUAAAGAAAUAUUGACACCGAAUGUUUGUGGCACAACAUCCUGUCCACAAGUUAACAAUUUUUUUUUUCUGUGACGUAUUAAAUUUAUAAUAAGAUCCAUUUUGUUACAACCUGUGAUCAAUUUUAUUUGGCAAUCGCCAAUGGCAGUCAGCAGGGUUAAAGAACAUCAGUUGUUCGACCUGUUAGUCAAAUGCGUUUUGUUUAAAUAUACUUUUUCACUCUUUUGGUCUUUUGGAAAAUGUUGUUUGUGCUGUUUUUAGACCCUUCUACAACGAAAUUUGUUUGACAUGCACACGUAUAAAAAUUGCGGUUUUUAUCCAACGCAGUCAUAGGUUUGAACGUAGUUUUCAAUUUAGACUCGUAUAUAUAUAUAUAUAUAUAUAUAUAUAUAUAU